Molecule: ribosomal RNA, 496 nt
Filed under: uncultured bacterium
Lineage: Bacteria
Description: partial 16S ribosomal RNA
Rfam family: Bacterial small subunit ribosomal RNA
Source: RNAcentral
AUGAACGCUGGCGGCGUGCCUAAUACAUGCAAGUCGAGCGAACGGACGAGAAGCUUGCUUCUCUGAUGUUAGCGGCGGACGGGUGAGUAACACGUGGAUAACCUACCUAUAAGACUGGGAUAACUUCGGGAAACCGGAGCUAAUACCGGAUAAUAUUUUGAACCGCAUGGUUCAAAAGUAAAAGACGGUCUUGCUGUCACUUAUAGAUGGAUCCGCGCUGCAUUAGCUAGUUGGUAAGGUAACGGCUUACCAAGGCAACGAUGCGUAGCCGACCUGAGAGGGUGAUCGGCCACACUGGAACUGAGACACGGUCCAGACUCCUACGGGAGGCAGCAGUAGGGAAUCUUCCGCAAUGGGCGAAAGCCUGACGGAGCAACGCCGCGUGAGUGAUGAAGGUCUUCGGAUCGUAAAACUCUGUUAUUAGGGAAGAACAUAUGUGUAAGUAACUGUGCACAUCUUGACGGUACCUAAUCAGAAAGCCACGGCUAACUACGUG